RNAcentral lists this ribosomal RNA (253 nucleotides) under uncultured bacterium. RNAcentral describes it as "partial 16S ribosomal RNA". It matches the Rfam family "Bacterial small subunit ribosomal RNA", at positions 524 to 776 of the family's 1533-position model. The record is from RNAcentral.
UACAGAGGGUGCAAGCGUUGUUCGGAAUUAUUGGGCGUAAAGCGCGUGUAGGCGGCUUUGCAAGUCGGGUGUGAAAGCCCUCAGCUUAACUGAGGAAGUGCGCCCGAAACUGCAUGGCUUGAGUACCGGAGAGGAUGGUGGAAUUCCCGAAGUAGAGGUGAAAUUCGUAGAUAUCGGGAGGAACACCGGUGGCGAAGGCGACCAUCUGGACGGAUACUGACGCUGAGACGCGAAAGCGUGGGUAGCAAACAGG